RNAcentral lists this ribosomal RNA (766 nucleotides) under Stenotrophomonas maltophilia. RNAcentral describes it as "bacterial LSU rRNA". It matches the Rfam family "Bacterial large subunit ribosomal RNA", at positions 318 to 1093 of the family's 2925-position model. Lineage: Bacteria; Pseudomonadati; Pseudomonadota; Gammaproteobacteria; Lysobacterales; Lysobacteraceae. The record is from RNAcentral.
CUGGAUUGGUUCUAGGAAAACACUCUGGAAAGAGUGGCCAUAGAAGGUGACAGCCCUGUAUCUGAAAGGGCCAUUCCAGUGAAGACGAGUAGGGCGGGGCACGUGAAACCCUGUCUGAACAUGGGGGGACCAUCCUCCAAGGCUAAAUACUACUGACCGACCGAUAGUGAACCAGUACCGUGAGGGAAAGGCGAAAAGAACCCCGGAGAGGGGAGUGAAAUAGAACCUGAAACCGUGUGCGUACAAGCAGUAGGAGCUCCGCAAGGAGUGACUGCGUACCUUUUGUAUAAUGGGUCAGCGACUUACUGUUCGUGGCAAGCUUAACCGUAUAGGGGAGGCGAAGGGAAACCGAGUCUGAUAAGGGCGCAUAGUCGCGGGCAGUAGACCCGAAACCGGGUGAUCUAGUCAUGCCCAGGGUGAAGGUGCGGUAACACGCACUGGAGGCCCGAACCCACUCCCGUUGCAAAGGUAGGGGAUGAGGUGUGAUUAGGAGUGAAAAGCUAAUCGAACCCGGAGAUAGCUGGUUCUCCUCGAAAGCUAUUUAGGUAGCGCCUCAUAUGUAUCCUCUCGGGGGUAGAGCACUGUUAUGGCUAGGGGGUCAUCGCGACUUACCAAACCAUUGCAAACUCCGAAUACCGAGACGGACUGUAUGGGAGACACACGGCGGGUGCUAACGUCCGUCGUGAAAAGGGAAACAACCCAGACCCACAGCUAAGGUCCCAAAUUCAGUGCUAAGUGGAAAACCAUGUGGAAAGGCACAGACAGC